GAGGGGCAGGAUUUCAUCCCCCUUCUAACCAGCAGUCCCUUCACAGGAGACUUCUGUGGCAGAGCUGCAAGAUUUCUAGUAAUAGGAAGGGAUACAGUCAAACAGUGCUUUAACUGGUUGGGUAGUGGCAUAUUAUGGACAAG
This 143-nucleotide long non-coding RNA is filed under the name Taeniopygia guttata (zebra finch). Its description in RNAcentral is "lncRNA (ENSTGUG00000026501.1)". Lineage: Eukaryota; Metazoa; Chordata; Aves; Passeriformes; Estrildidae. The record is from RNAcentral.